Molecule: ribosomal RNA, 1410 nt
Filed under: Triticum aestivum (bread wheat)
Lineage: Eukaryota; Viridiplantae; Streptophyta; Magnoliopsida; Poales; Poaceae
Description: partial small subunit ribosomal RNA
Source: RNAcentral
AUGGGCGGAGCGGAGGACGGGGCGCACGCGGCGGGGGGCCCCGCGUCGAACGGGCACGCCAAUGGGGCCGUGGAGGAGAAGGUGGACGAGCUGCGGCGGGUGAUGGGAAAGGCCGACGGGGACCCGCUCCGGAUCGUCGGCGUCGGGGCCGGGGCCUGGGGCAGCGUCUUCUGCGCGCUCCUGCAGGACGCCUACGGCCACCUCCGCGACAAGGUGCAGCUCCGCAUCUGGCGCCGCCCCGGCCGCGCCGUCGACCGCGCCACGGCCGAGCACCUCUUCAACGUCAUCAACGCGCGCGAGGACGUCCUGCGCCGCCUGAUCCGCCGAUGCGCCUACCUCAAGUACGUCGAGGGCCGCCUCGGGGACCGCACGCUCUACGCCGACGAGAUACUCAGGGACGGCUUCUGCCUCAACAUGAUCGACACCCCGCUCUGCCCGCUCAAGGUCGUCACCAACCUGCAGGAGGCCGUCUGGGACGCAGACAUUGUCAUCAACGGCCUGCCGUCCACGGAGACGAGGGUUGUGUUUGGGGAGAUUGGGAGGUACUGGAAGGAGAGGGUUAAUGCCCCAGUCAUCAUCUCGCUCACCAAAGGGAUAGAAGCAUCCCUGGAUCCGGUGCCGCGGAUCAUAACUCCGACACAGAUGAUUAGCAAAGCAACUAAGGUUCCAUUGGAUAAUAUUCUAUAUCUUGGUGGCCCUAACAUCGCGUCUGAAAUAUAUAAUAAAGAAUAUGCGAAUGCUCGUAUUUGUGGAACUGACAAAUGGAGGAAACCUCUUGCUAAAUUUUUGAGGCAGCCUCAUUUUAUUGUCUGGGAUAAUAGUGAUCUCAUCACUCAUGAAGUCAUGGGAGGUUUGAAAAAUGUGUACGCUAUUGGUGCUGGUAUGGUGGCAGCACUAACCAAUGAGAGUGCUACCAGCAAGUCUGUUUACUUUGCACUUUGCACAUCUGAAAUGAUCUACAUCACCCACCUUCUGGAAGAAGAACCCGAAAAACUUGCUGGACCGUUAUUAGCUGACACUUAUGUCACGUUGUUGAAAGGUCGUAAUGCAUGGUAUGGGCAUAAGUUAGCUAAAGGGGAACUGACUCUGGAAAUGGGUGAUAGCAUAAAAGGCAAAGGGACAAUCCAGGGUGUCUCUGCGGUCGAUGCAUUUUAUAAACUUCUCAGUCAGGAUAGUUUGAGUGUAAUGCAUCCAGAAGCCAACAAAUCUGUUGCGCCAGUUGAGAUGUGCCCCAUCUUGAAAACACUUCAUAAAAUUUUGAUCAAGAGGGAACUUCCUACUGAGUCGAUUCUUCAGGCUAUAAGAGAUGAGUCGAUGUGUGACCCGCGUGAAAGAAUUGAGAUGGCACGGGGGCAGUCACUUUACCGACCAUCUAUUCUUGGUCAACCAAAUGGAGAUGUGAAAGCUUAG